UGGGGAAUUUUGGACAAUGGGCGCAAGCCUGAUCCAGCAAUGCCGCGUGCAGGAUGAAGGCCUUCGGGUUGUAAACUGCUUUUGUACGGAACGAAACGGCGAGCUCUAAUACAGUUUGCUAAUGACGGUACCGUAAGAAUAAGCACCGGCUAACUACGUGCCAGCAGCCGCGGUAAUACGUAGGGUGCAAGCGUUAAUCGGAAUUACUGGGCGUAAAGCGUGCGCAGGCGGUCAUGUAAGACAGAUGUGAAAUCCCCGGGCUUAACCUGGGAACUGCAUUUGUGACUGCAUAGCUAGAGUACGGUAGAGGGGGAUGGAAUUCCGCGUGUAGCAGUGAAAUGCGUAGAUAUGCGGAGGAACACCGAUGGCGAAGGCAAUCCCCUGGACCUGUACUGACGCUCAUGCACGAAAGCGUGGGGAGCAAACA
RNAcentral lists this ribosomal RNA (427 nucleotides) under uncultured bacterium. Its description in RNAcentral is "partial 16S ribosomal RNA". It matches the Rfam family "Bacterial small subunit ribosomal RNA", at positions 355 to 774 of the family's 1533-position model. The record is from RNAcentral.